GUAACAGGGAAGGAGCUGGGACGGGUGGGGAAGGGGGUGACGACGUGGGGAUUUUCCCUGGUUAUAUUGUAUGUGAGUCCUACUGUUGAGCCUAUGUGAGUUUUACUGUUUUGCAUGAAUACUGCGUGUGCCUCAGUUUCCCUGUGUGCUGCACCAGUACCUCGGUGGUGGGAAUAGGGGCGUGUGACUUUGGCUGAGACC
Long non-coding RNA from Chelonia mydas (Green sea turtle), 201 nucleotides. RefSeq lists it as uncharacterized. The transcript has 3 exons. The record is from RefSeq and is a predicted model, not a curated record. NCBI's taxonomy places the organism in Eukaryota, Metazoa, Chordata, Testudines, Cheloniidae.